This 497-nucleotide ribosomal RNA is filed under the name uncultured bacterium. RNAcentral describes it as "partial 16S ribosomal RNA". It matches the Rfam family "Bacterial small subunit ribosomal RNA", at positions 28 to 507 of the family's 1533-position model. The record is from RNAcentral.
GAUGAACGCUGGCGGCGUGCCUAAUACAUGCAAGUCGAGCGAACGGACGAGAAUCUUGCUUCUCUGAUGUUAGCGGCGGACGGGUGAGUAACACGUGGAUAACCUACCUAUAAGACUGGGAUAACUUCGGGAAACCGGAUCUAAUACCGGAUAAUAUUUUGAACCGCAUGGUUCAUAAGUGAAAGACGGUUUUGCUGUCACUUAUAGAUGGAUCCGCGCUGCAUUAGCUAGUUGGUAAGGUAACGGCUUACCAAGGCAACGAUGCAUAGCCGACCUGAGAGGGUGAUCAGCCACACUGGAACUGAGACACGGUCCAGACUCCUACGGGAGGCAGCAGUAGGGAAUCUUCCGCAAUGGGCGAAAGCCUGACGGAGCAACGCCGCGUGAGUGAUGAAGGUCUUCGGAUCGUAAAACUCUGUUAUUAGGGAAGAACAUAUGUGUAAGUAACUGUGCACAUCUUGACGGUACCUAAUCAGAAAGCCACGGCUAACUACGUG